GACGAACGCUGGCGGCGUGCUUAACACAUGCAACUCGAACGGAAAGGCCCUGCUUUUGUGGGGUGCUCGAGUGGCGAACGGGUGAGUAACACGUGAGUAACCUGCCCUUGACUUUGGGAUAACUUCAGGAAACUGGGGCUAAUACCUGAUAGGAGCUCCUGCUGCAUGGUGGGGGUUGGAAAGUUUCGGCGGUUGGGGAUGGACUCGCGGCUUAUCAGCUUGUUGGUGGGGUAGUGGCUUACCAAGGCUUUGACGGGUAGCCGGCCUGAGAGGGUGACCGGCCACAUUGGGACUGAGAUACGGCACAGACUCAUACGGGAGGCAGCAGUGGGGAAUAUUGCACAAUGGGCGGAAGCCUGAUGCAGCAACGCCGCGUGCGGGAUGACGGCCUUCGGGUUGUAAACCGCUUUCGCCUGUGACGAAGCGUGAGUGACGGUAAUGGGUAAAGAAGCACCGGCUAAGUACGUG
Molecule: ribosomal RNA, 468 nt
Filed under: uncultured bacterium
Lineage: Bacteria
Description: partial 16S ribosomal RNA
Rfam family: Bacterial small subunit ribosomal RNA
Source: RNAcentral